Molecule: small nuclear RNA, 107 nt
Organism: Pan troglodytes (chimpanzee)
Lineage: Eukaryota; Metazoa; Chordata; Mammalia; Primates; Hominidae
Source: RefSeq, a predicted model, not a curated record
GUGCUCACUUUGGCAGCAUAUACACUAAAAUUGGGACAAUACAGAGAAGAUUAGCAUUGUCCCUGAGCAAGCAUGACACACAAAUUCAUGAAGCAUUUCAUAUUUUU